Molecule: ribosomal RNA, 256 nt
Filed under: uncultured bacterium
Lineage: Bacteria
Description: partial small subunit ribosomal RNA
Rfam family: Bacterial small subunit ribosomal RNA
Source: RNAcentral
AGGACGAACGCUGGCGGCGUGCUUAACACAUGCAAGUCGAGCGGUAAGGCUCCUUCGGGGUACUCGAGCGGCGAACGGGUGAGUAACACGUGAGUAACCUGCCCCAGACUUUGGGAUAACCCUCGGAAACGGGGGCUAAUACCGAAUAUGACUUUAGCCCGCAUGGGUUUUUGUGGAAAGUUUUUCGGUUUGGGAUGGACUCGCGGCCUAUCAGCUUGUUGGUGAGGUAAUGGCUCACCAAGGCGAGGACGGGUAG